AGCACAAAUUUGAGGUAGAGUAGAUGAGAAGGAUCAUCUGACUCUACUAGUCUACUCUUCUUCGAGUUUGUGCCC
Molecule: microRNA precursor, 75 nt
Filed under: Haemonchus placei
Lineage: Eukaryota; Metazoa; Nematoda; Chromadorea; Rhabditida; Trichostrongylidae
Description: mir-5928 microRNA precursor family
Rfam family: mir-5928 microRNA precursor family
Source: Rfam by way of RNAcentral